GACGAACCGUGCGAACGUUAUUCGGAAUCACUGGGCUUAAAGCGCGUGUAGGCGGGAGGGCACGUCCGUCGCUGAAAUCCCCCGGCUCAACCGGGGAACGGGCACGGAUACGACCUUCCUGGAGGGGCGUAGGGGGACCUGGAACUUCCGGUGGAGCGGUGAAAUGCGUUGAUAUCAAGUGGAACACCAGUGGCGAAGGCGGCCAGCUGGGCCGUUGCUGACGCUGAGGCGCGACAGCGUGGGGAGCAAACAGG
RNAcentral lists this ribosomal RNA (254 nucleotides) under uncultured bacterium. RNAcentral describes it as "partial 16S ribosomal RNA". It matches the Rfam family "Bacterial small subunit ribosomal RNA", at positions 524 to 776 of the family's 1533-position model. The record is from RNAcentral.